This 393-nucleotide ribosomal RNA is filed under the name uncultured bacterium. Its description in RNAcentral is "bacterial SSU rRNA". It matches the Rfam family "Bacterial small subunit ribosomal RNA", at positions 505 to 898 of the family's 1533-position model. The record is from RNAcentral.
GUGUCAGCCGCCGCGGUAAUACGUAGGGGGCCAGCGUUGCUCGGAAUUACUGGGCGUAAAGGGUCCGUAGGCGGUGUAGCAAGUCGAUAGUGAAAUCUCUGGGCUUAACCCAGAGGCUGCUAACGAAACUGCUGUGCUAGAGUGUGAGAGAGGCGAGUGGAAUUACGGGUGUAGCGGUGAAAUGCGUAGAUAUCCGUAGGAACAUCCGAGGCGAAGGCGGCUCGCUGGAUCACAACUGACGCUGAGGGACGAAAGCUAGGGGAGCAAACAGGAUUAGAUACCCUGGUAGUCCUAGCCCUAAACCAUCAGGACUUGGGGUUUGCCCUGUACGGGGCAAGUCCCGUAGCUAACGCGUUAAGUCCUGCGCCUGGGGAGUACGGUCGCAAGGCUGAA